This 371-nucleotide ribosomal RNA is filed under the name uncultured bacterium. RNAcentral describes it as "bacterial SSU rRNA". It matches the Rfam family "Bacterial small subunit ribosomal RNA", at positions 606 to 975 of the family's 1533-position model. The record is from RNAcentral.
GGCUCAACCCAAGAAUUGCCUUUGAUACUGGAUGUCUCGAGACCGGGAGAGGUGAGUGGAAUUCCGAGUGUAGAGGUGAAAUUCGUAGAUAUUCGGAAGAACACCAGUGGCGAAGGCGGCUCACUGGCCCGGUUCUGACGCUGAGGUGCGAAAGCGUGGGUAGCGAACAGGAUUAGAUACCCUGGUAGUCCACGCCGUAAACUAUGAGGACUAGCUGUUGGAUGCAUAAAAGCAUCAAGUAGCGAAGCUAACGCGAUAAGUUCUCCGCCUGGGGAGUACGGCCGCAAGGCUAAAACUCAAAGGAAUUGACGGGGGCCCGCACAAGCGGUGGAGCAUGUGGUUUAAUUCGACGCAGCGCGCAGAACCUUACC